This is a non-coding RNA of Phascolarctos cinereus (koala), 1355 nucleotides long. The record is from RefSeq and is a predicted model, not a curated record. NCBI's taxonomy places the organism in Eukaryota, Metazoa, Chordata, Mammalia, Diprotodontia, Phascolarctidae.
CAGGGACCCGGCGGCGGCGGCGGCGGCGGCGGCAGCAGCCGGCAGUGCGGGGGGGCCAGCUGCGGGCUGCAGCCGCUGCAGGCGGAGAGCAUGUCCAAGCCGGUGGACCACGUCAAGCGGCCCAUGAACGCCUUCAUGGUGUGGUCCCGGGCCCAGCGACGCAAAAUGGCCCAGGAGAACCCCAAGAUGCACAACUCGGAGAUCAGCAAGCGACUGGGGGCCGAGUGGAAAUUGCUCACUGAGUCGGAGAAGCGACCCUUCAUAGAUGAGGCGAAGCGCCUGCGGGCCAUGCACAUGAAGGAGCAUCCUGACUACAAGUACAGACCGCGCAGGAAGCCGAAGACCCUGCUCAAGAAGGACAAGUUCGCCUUCCCCGUGCCCUACGGCCUGGGUGGCGUGGGGGACCCUGAGCACCACGGACUGAAGGCGGGGGGCGGGCUGCACGGGGCCGCCGGGGGCGGGCUGGUGCCCGAGUCGCUGCUCGCCAACCCGGAGAAAGCUGCGGCCGCCGCUGCCGCCGCAGCCGCGCGCGUUUUCUUUCCGCAGUCUGCAGCUGCGGCCGCCGCCGCCGCUGCUGCCGCGGCCAGCAGCCCCUACUCUCUGCUGGACCUGGGCUCUAAAAUGGCAGAGAUCUCCUCGUCCUCCUCGGGGCUCCCCUACGCGUCCUCGCUGGGCUACCCGACGGCCGGGGCCGGUGCCUUCCACGGGGCUGCCGCCGCAGCUGCAGCCGCUGCCGCCGCCGCCGGGGGGCACACGCACUCGCACCCCAGCCCCGGCAACCCGAGCUACAUGAUACCGUGCAACUGCAGCGCCUGGCCGAGCCCGGGACUCCAGCCGCCCCUUGCCUAUAUCCUGUUGCCUGGCAUGGGCAAACCUCAGCUAGACCCUUACCCUGCAGCCUACGCCGCAGCGUUAUGACCCAGCGCGGGGUGCAGCAGCAGCAGCAGCUACAACCGUGUGUAAAUAUCUGUACAAAUAGGGGGUGGCUUUAAUAAUGAGGUCUCAGCUAUACAGCCGCGCAUGUACAUAUGUAUAGGUAAAUGAACAUCAGUCUUGAGAUGGAUUGUCCAGAUUUUGAGAUGAACUUCUGAGUUUGAGAAGUCUGGAGGUCCUAGGUCCAUCUGAUGGACCUGAAUGAUGACAAGAGGAAGAGUCCCCUAUGUCCACUCCAGUCCUCUUGAAGCAGAUGACCACCAACAAGAGGAUGAGUUCAAACCUUCAUCCAUCUUGUCAGAAGAUACCUACUAUGAGGAGUACAGUGCAGAGCCAAGAUGAAAUGUGAGAUAGAUGCUUUUGAGUCCUGUUUUAUAUUUGAUGUUUCUUUUAUGUGUAGGAAAUAAAUGAUUCAUAUUGUG